This 367-nucleotide ribosomal RNA is filed under the name uncultured Methanomicrobiales archaeon. RNAcentral describes it as "bacterial SSU rRNA". It matches the Rfam family "Archaeal small subunit ribosomal RNA", at positions 971 to 1338 of the family's 1478-position model. The record is from RNAcentral. Lineage: Archaea; Methanobacteriati; Methanobacteriota; Methanomicrobia; Methanomicrobiales.
UUGGACUAGCUGAGAGGAGGUGCAUGGCCGUCGUCAGUCGUACUGUGAAGCAUCCUGUUAAGUCAGGCAACGAGCGAGACCCACGCCAACAGUUGCCAGCUCGUCCUCCGGGAUGGAGGGGACACUGUUGGGACCGCCUCUGCUAAAGAGGAGGAAGGAAUGGGCAACGGUAGGUCAGCAUGCCCCGAAUUAAUUGGGCUACACGCGGGCUACAAUGGGUGGGACAAUGGGUAUCGACACCGAAAGGUGAAGGCAAUCUCCUAAACCCAUCCGUAGUUCGGAUUGAGGGCUGUAACUCGCCCUCAUGAAGCUGGAAUGCGUAGUAAUCGCGUGUCAUAAUCGCGCGGUGAAUACGUCCCUGCUCCUU